AUUGAACGCUGGCGGCAGGCCUAACACAUGCAAGUCGAGCGCGAGGCGGACGGGUGAGUAAUGUGUGGGAAACUGCCUGAUGGGGGGGGGUAACAACUGGAAACGGUAGAUAAUACCGCAUACCAUAAGAUAUGACCAGAUGGGAGUAGAUAGUAGGUGGGGUAACGGCUCACCUAGGCGACGAUCCCUAGCUGGUCUGAGAGGAUGACCAGCCACACUGGAACUGAGACACGGUCCAGACUCCUACGGGAGGCAGCAGUGGGGAAUAUUGCACAAUGGGCGCAAGCCUGAUGCAGCCAUGCCGCGUGUGUGAAGAAGGCCUUCGGGUUGUAAAGCACUUUCAGCGGGGAGGCGUUACCCGCAGAAGAAGCACCGGCUAACUCCGUGCCAGCAGCCGCGGUAAUUC
This 406-nucleotide ribosomal RNA is filed under the name uncultured bacterium. RNAcentral's name for it is "partial 16S ribosomal RNA". It matches the Rfam family "Bacterial small subunit ribosomal RNA", at positions 29 to 526 of the family's 1533-position model. The record is from RNAcentral.